UACGUAGGGAGCAAGCGUUGUCCGGAAUCAUUGGGCGUAAAGAGCGCGUAGGUGGCUUUAUAAGUCCGUUGUGAAAGUCAAAGGCUCAACCUUUGAAAGCCGAUGGAUACUGUGAAGCUAGAGUACGGAAGAGGCAAGUGGAAUUCCUGGUGUAGCGGUGGAAUGCGCAGAUAUCAGGAGGAACACCUAUAGCGAAGGCAGCUUGCUGGGACGUAACUGACGCUAAGGCGCGAAAGCGUGGGGAGCGAACAGG
This 253-nucleotide ribosomal RNA is filed under the name uncultured bacterium. RNAcentral describes it as "partial 16S ribosomal RNA". It matches the Rfam family "Bacterial small subunit ribosomal RNA", at positions 524 to 776 of the family's 1533-position model. The record is from RNAcentral.